CCUACGGGUGGCAGCAGUGGGGAAUAUUGCACACUGGGGGAAACCCUGAUGCAGCAACGUCGCGUGAGUGAGGAAGUCUCUCGGUAUGUAAAGCUCUAUCAGCAGGGAAUAGAAAAGAAGGUACCUGAAAAAGAAGCCCCGGCUAACUACGUGCCAGCAGCCGCGGUAAUACGUAGGGGGCAAACGUUAUCCGGAUUUACUGGGUGUAAAGGGAGCGUAGACGGAAAGGCAAGUCAGAGGUGAAAACGCAAGGCUCAACCAUGGUACUGCUUUUGAAACUGUCAAACUAGAGUACGGGAGAGGUAAGAGGAAUGCGUGGUGUAGCGGUGAAAUGCAUAGAUAUUAGGAGGAACACCAGUGGCGAAGGCGUCUUACUGGACCGAAACUGACGUUGAGGCACGAAAGCGUGGGGAGCAAACAGGAUUAGAUACCCCUGUAGUC
Molecule: ribosomal RNA, 441 nt
Filed under: uncultured bacterium
Lineage: Bacteria
Description: partial 16S ribosomal RNA
Rfam family: Bacterial small subunit ribosomal RNA
Source: RNAcentral